Molecule: long non-coding RNA, 1625 nt
Organism: Pyrus x bretschneideri (Chinese white pear)
Lineage: Eukaryota; Viridiplantae; Streptophyta; Magnoliopsida; Rosales; Rosaceae
Exons: 2
Source: RefSeq, a predicted model, not a curated record
UCUCUCUGUAUAGUCUUUCAGAAAGCAAUUCUCAACACGCCCCCGCACGUGUAGCCAAUUUUCAAGCCUAACACGUGGACAACACAACAAGGUGAUGUGGAGCACAUGUGGCCGUUGGGCUUCACACGUGUAGCCAAUUUUCAAGCCUAACACGUGGACAACACAACAAGGUGAUGUGGAGCACAUGUGGCCGUUGGGCUUCACACGUGAGAUAACCUGCUUUGAUACCAUGAUGAAAUUAGGGUUCUACCAUAAAACCAAUUGGCAAUAUAGGGAGUAGCUCAAGACCAUAUAAGCACAUAGCAAACUUGUCCCCUCACCGAUGUGGACAAUUCUCAACAUCCCUAACCUUGUGUUUCGACGAGGAAUUCUUGACGUUGCAUAGUUGAACUCAUUAAAGCCCCAUUCUCAUCAUCGAGGUCGAUAAAAGAAAUCAGCGAAGCACAAACAGAUAGAACUUUGAAGAUGAACUUAUUUCCAUUCAAUAGUCAGGAACUAUCAACGGCACUGAGCUGGAACAACCUGUUCUUCCUGAAUAUCUUGAGUCCUAAGGAACUUCAUCUCCGUUUCUAAGGGCAUGUUUAGUAUUCUAUUUAGAAACUUGGACUUGAAAAUUUUUAUUUGUUCAAAGAACAUAGUUCUAACUACAAUUCAUAAGACUCAUAAAUUCAUUUGGUAUGAGAACUUGAAACUUAUUUUUAGAUCACUAUCAAAUAUUCAAAGACAAAAAAUGCAGGCUGGGAGGCAACUGUGAAUCUUCAAAGCUUGAGAAGAAAAAAAAAAAACUCAGAUUGCCAAACAGUUCAAGUGCCCACUAUGCGCACUACCAUUUCAUGACUAUAGCAUGCAACGAUGGAGUCGAAUAGCAGCGAAAUUGAACUAUCUCGGGUUGAAGGGCGCUCGUGGCAGAUAUCGUCCUCUGAAAUUUGUUUGAGUAACCAGUGAGAGAAGUGAGGGAGAGAGAAGGAGAGAAAAGAGAGAGGACAGGGUGAGAGAAAAGGCCGACGAAUGGUUCUCAUCUAAAAACUAUAAAUUCUCACAUUUUCUGUUUUCAGCAAGUAAAACUUUUUCUUCAGUUAGUUUUAGUUGUCUUCUUGAGAAAAAUAUACCAAACAGAAUUCUUCAUGAUCUUUCACAUGGACAUCAGGAUAUGGUUCUAGCAAGAAGAUUAUGAGAUGGAAGGGAGGUGAAGCCGGUCAUUGCUUUUGACCUCCGGACACAUGGUGGCGUGGGACCGAAAGUGAGUAAUUGCAGGGUACUUAUGAUGAAGACUUGUAUGCGGAGAUACUGAACGAUGAUAUAAUUAAAAACUAGAUGAAUGUUCGGUGCAUGCUGCUCAUAUGAUGCCGGUUGUUGCCAACAACUCAGAGGCUGAACGUCAAUCUCGACAACAUAUGCAAGCCAUUUUGUCGCAAGAAGCUCCUUUCCAAGGUACUGCAAACCUAAGAAUCCAUUUCAGAAAGAGAAAGGAAAAGUUUCGUGCAGAGUCACAGGAAUCUUCCAACUCAGACAAGUCGCCAAAAGGCUUUAGUGAAUAGGAUGAACGAUCGACAUGUGUUAUUAUAUAUAUUUUUUAGAAAUUAUCUUGGGGUCCAAGAAUGAAUAUUUAAUCAAAUGUUUAUUAA